UUAAGUUCAGCGGGUAGUCUCACCCGAUUUGAGGUCAAGGUUCGUGGGUCGAGCAAGCUCGAACAAUGUCUUCCAUGAGACAGUUAGAGGCAGGUUCCCAAGGAACAGAGCAAAUCCCGAGACGUAGAAACAUCUUAUCACGCCUGGGGAUCGGCAAAGGGGACCCCACUAAUGCAUUUAAGAGGAGCUGGCUUUUCGCA
Molecule: unclassified non-coding RNA, 200 nt
Filed under: Russula sp.
Lineage: Eukaryota; Fungi; Basidiomycota; Agaricomycetes; Russulales; Russulaceae
Description: partial internal transcribed spacer 2
Source: RNAcentral